AGGCCCAUAAUCUUUAGGCCCAUUCGUUCCGGACUCUCAGUUGUCCGUACUCGUUAACCUCGUGCUCCUACCCCUGCUUUGAUCCUUAUCUCGGCGCCGGAGCCCACGACCGCUUCCCCGCUCACCACCCCAACCCCGAAAUAUCCCCCAAUUCCGACGCGACCGCGGAACCCUAGCCCCCCGGCAAUCUUCGCUGGACCCGGAGAGCCGCUCCGGCGCCAUGGCAUCCCCGGAAGGAUCAAACUGGGUAUUCGACUGCCCCCUCAUGGACGACCUUGCUGCCGCCGACUUCGCCGCGGCAUCCGCAGGAGGCUUCUACUGGACCCCGCCGAUGCAGCCGCAGAUGCACACUCUUGCGCAGGCCGUCUCCGCCACCCCGGCUCCCAAUCCCUGUGCUGAAAUCAAUAGCUCUGUUUCGGUGGACUGGGACCAUGCCAAAGGACAACCGAAAAAUAAACGUCCUAGGUCAGAAACUGGUGCUCAACCUAGCUCCAAAGCAUGCAGGGAGAAAGUGAGAAGGGACAAGCUAAACGAGAGGUUCUUGGAAUUGGGUGCUGUCUUGGAUCCGGGGAAAACACCUAAAAUCGACAAAUGUGCUAUAUUAAAUGAUGCUAUCCGUGCGGUAACUGAAUUGCGUAGUGAAGCAGAGAAGUUGAAGGAUUCCAAUGAGUCUCUCCAAGAGAAGAUUAGAGAGCUAAAGGCUGAGAAGAAUGAGCUACGAGAUGAGAAGCAAAAGUUGAAGGCGGAGAAAGAGAGCCUGGAGCAGCAGAUUAAGUUCAUGAAUGCCCGUCAGAGCCUCGUACCACACCCUUCUGUCAUCCCAGCUGCUGCAUUCGCUGCCGCCCAAGGCCAAGCGGCAGGGCACAAGCUGAUGAUGCCUGUGAUGAGCUACCCAGGAUUUCCCAUGUGGCAGUUCAUGCCGCCUUCAGAUGUUGAUACCUCCGAUGACCCCAAGUCAUGCCCUCCGGUUGCAUAAGCCAGCAAAAAUCAUUUGCCUCAUCUAUCUCAUGGGGAAGGAUGGCUAAAAAGCCGUCCGUUAAAGUAUAUCUUAGUCGUCAGUGUUACUAUGCAGAAGCCGUUUAGUGUUACUAUAUGUAGUUAAAUCAAGAACCGAACUGAAGCGUCGUCGUUGUAUCACCCGGGAACAUUUGAUUAUCUUGUGAAACCGUUGUAUAUUGUUAGUAAAUAAAUACCAUCCGUUGAAGCAAAUGGCGCUUGGACGCCAUAGCAUUACCG
Molecule: ribosomal RNA, 1236 nt
Filed under: Triticum aestivum (bread wheat)
Lineage: Eukaryota; Viridiplantae; Streptophyta; Magnoliopsida; Poales; Poaceae
Description: partial small subunit ribosomal RNA
Source: RNAcentral